RNAcentral lists this ribosomal RNA (477 nucleotides) under uncultured Planctomycetales bacterium. RNAcentral's name for it is "bacterial SSU rRNA". It matches the Rfam family "Bacterial small subunit ribosomal RNA", at positions 365 to 832 of the family's 1533-position model. The record is from RNAcentral. Lineage: Bacteria; Pseudomonadati; Planctomycetota; Planctomycetia; Planctomycetales.
UUCGCAAUGCCCGAAAGGGUGACGAAGCGACGCCGCGUGCGGGAAGAAGGCCUUCGGGUUGUAAACCGCUGUCGGGUGUUAAGAAAUGUAAGGAUGUUAAUAGCAUCUUUGCUUGACUAAGGCUCCGGAGGAAGCCACGGCUAACUCUGUGCCAGCAGCCGCGGUAAUACAGAGGCGGCAAGCGUUGUUCGGAAUUAUUGGGCGUAAAGAGCACGUAGGCGGCUAUGUAAGUCGGUUGUGAAAGCCUUCCGCUCAACGGGAGAACAGCAUCCGAUACUGCAUGGCUUGAGUGCGGGAGGGGAGAGUGGAACUUCUGGUGGAGCGGUGAAAUGCGUAGAUAUCAGAAGGAACGCCGGCGGCGAAAGCGGCUCUCUGGCCCAUAACUGACGCUGAGUGUGCGAAAGCUAGGGGAGCAAACGGGAUUAGAUACCCCGGUAGUCCUAGCCGUAAACGAUGGGCACUAAGUAGAGGGGUUUU